CAAAAGUGGAUUAGCGGCGGACGGGUGAGUAACACGUGAGUAACCUGCCUUAGACAUUGGGAUAGCCUCGGGAAACCGGGAUUAAUACCAAAUAAAAUCAUAAUGACACAUGUCAUAACGAUCAAAACUCCGGUGGUCUAAGAUGGACUCGCGUCCCAUUAGCUAGUUGGUAGAGUAAAAGCCUACCAAGGCGACGAUGGGUAGCCGGCCUGAGAGGGUGAACGGCCACAUUGGAACUGAGAAACGGUCCAA
RNAcentral lists this ribosomal RNA (252 nucleotides) under uncultured Eubacteriales bacterium. Its description in RNAcentral is "uncultured Clostridiales bacterium partial 16S ribosomal RNA". It matches the Rfam family "Bacterial small subunit ribosomal RNA", at positions 81 to 334 of the family's 1533-position model. Lineage: Bacteria; Bacillati; Bacillota; Clostridia; Eubacteriales. The record is from RNAcentral.